Molecule: long non-coding RNA, 2942 nt
Organism: Gadus chalcogrammus (walleye pollock)
Lineage: Eukaryota; Metazoa; Chordata; Actinopteri; Gadiformes; Gadidae
Exons: 3
Source: RefSeq, a predicted model, not a curated record
GAUAGCCUUAGAUUCCUGGAGGUACGCUCAUUAUUUUGAGUUGCAGAGCGAAAAGGACAAGAAGAACAUAGUGGUCAAAUGCAAUCUGUGUGUAGGUGGAAAACUUCUGUCAACUGCCAAAAACUCAACCUCGAAUUAAAAAAAACAUCUCUCCUCAAAACACCCCUCCACCAAGUUGGUCGGACUUCCUGCCGAGGGAAUGGAGGACAGUGGUGGUGCUCUGGCUGCUAAGCAACAGCGUCUUAGUUUUAGUGCUAGCUCGGCUGUGGCUAAAACGGUGUCCGCCAGUGAAAUCCACAAGCUUGUGGCUGGUUACGUAGUUGAGGAGAUGCUCCCUAUUUCUACUGUUGAGUCUCCAUCUUUUCGUAGAAUAAUCAAUAAAAUACCAACGACAAGCAAAACAGGGGAAGCGAUGCCGGAUCGAAAAACCUUUGCCAAUUACUUAGACAGGCGGGUCACUCCAGGCUGCUGCAGUCAUCGUCACUGUCGCUGCUAGUUGUAUCAUCCAGGAUGACCGGUGAAGGACUCGGAGGAGGAAGACUGAACUGCUGGGGACCUGGAAUGUAGAAGAUCAUCGUUAAGCGUACAAUUUGGUAACAUGGGUAAUGUUUGGCUUUCUUGCUUUCUAAAUCAAGCUUAUGGUAUUAAUGCCAUUGACUUGAAUAUUAUUCUGUUCAAUAUCAAUGAUGAAGCCCUGUGAUAGUUUUAGCAGCAUUUUCUCUCAACACGUGGCUACUGAUUGAUGUGCUAACUAGCUUUUUUAAUCUCUAGUGCUAGUUAGAUGUUUGCCAAGAGUUAGUGGGAGACUUUCCCACUUCCUUACUAAAUUCGUUCAAAUUCGCUCAUCAUCAUUGUUCUAAAAUUAAAGAAAUAGUGUUGAGCAAAGAAGACAAGUUUGAGGGGAAAAUAACAUCCCUGAGACCGACGUCGUACAGUAGCCUAGUUAUGCUAUUUUGCAACCAUGCUUUUGGCGAUAACGGGAAACGUGCUUUCUACAUUUUAUGGUGAAAUCCAAACAUUACUUACCGAUUUUAAGAACUACGAUUAAAGUUACCAAUUGCAAGUGGGAAAUGUAAAAAACGUGUGGAUAGGAUAUUGUGCCAAUUUGCCAUUUGGGGAGUUUAUUUUUUUUGUCAUUACGUUUAGAAUUGACUUUAUAUCUUGUCUUUCCAUAAGAUGCAAGGAAUAUGGCUACAUGGGUUUAUAUUAGAGGGCAAAUGUUAAAGAAAUACAAGUCAGAUAGUACAUGUACCCACCAUUGACAGGAGUGCCACAACGCGUUUCACCCAAUGCGUCUUCAGGUUCGAACCUGAAAACGCAUUGGGCGAAACGCGUUGUUCGCUCCUAAAAAUAAAGAGAAAAAAGAACAGUAUCCAGUGUGCGGUGUUUAAUGAACUUUUCAUAUUUGAUCACGUUUUCCUGCCUAACACCUGCACCUGGAAAGCUGAAGGGUUGUGCACAAGGACUUUCAUGCACUUGGAUCUUUGGUAAUGCAUUGUAGCAAAGAACUGAAAUAUAUCAGUAUUAUAGAAGUCAUGACUAUACCAGGGCCUUUUCCUGGGAUUUCUCCCUCAGAAGAUCCUCCACCCUUUGAAGGUCUUCCUCGCAGUUCAUUGGGAACUUAAAUUCCUCAGAUAGAGUGUCUGCUGCUGCUGCUGCUGUAGUUUUUUGCCUAGUAAGGGCCUGGAGGAGGAGGUUGUUCUGCCUCACCAAGGCCUUCAACUCCUCCACAGCACGCAGGAGUGCAUGAUCCCGUUCUACAGGACAGAAAAACAUCAUGACUGUCAUGUCAAGACCCUUUGCUAAAAUUAACAGACUUAAGUUUAAACAGAUUUUCAGUAUUGCUGUGUAAGGCCAGAUGUUUGUGUACCGAAUUGACUUUGAAUGUUGCCAGAGAUCUGGGCAGAGCCUGUUCAAGAGCAGCUGAUGUGUGGGCAGCAACUGUAGGCAAGAAGAUGUAUAUUUAUAAUCAGAGUAGUCAGUGUAUUGAAGUUCAUUACAUUCAAAUUUCCCAGAUUCGAGACAUUCAAAAGAGAUAGUGAGUAGAAUAGCAGAAUUCAGAUUUGGAAUGAUGUGUUAUACCUUUAUGUAUGUCCUGCUGUGAUGAUCUAAAAGCAGGUGGGGAAAGCAGGGGCUUGUGGAGGACUCCUUUUUUUUCUUUUUUCUUAGCCCUAUACAUUGGAACAGUACAAGAGUAUGAACAACAACAGUUUUGUAAGACUGCAAACUUGCCAAUCACAAAAUGUCUUUAUGUGAGUGAUAAUGCAUGGCCAUCUGUAAUCAGACCUUGUAUGCUUCUCCCCCUCAUCUGCAGGCACAGUUUCUUUCAGCUUUGAGGAAGGGCUGCAUUAGAAAAUAAAUCACUCAAUAAGCAUGCAUUGUUUUGUGUAGCUGAUGGUUUUCAUAGUAUAGAUUACUGCACAGUGCUUAAAUUCUCCUUUUACCCCCUUCAUCAUCUGAUGUCAGGGUGCUCCUGGUUUGGGCUUUUUUCAGGUUCAUACGCGCUGCAUCAUAAUUGGCUGUUGAAGACAACAAUGAAUUCCCAUCUCUCAGACUUACCUGAUCCUCCAUCCAAACUCUGAUGUUGGAAUCCAUGCUGUCCAGUCCAUGUGAAGAGCACAGGAAGGCUUGUUGCAGCACACUUAAUAGUAGGGUAUCACCAUAUGUCUGGUUGAGCUCCACAAAAGAUCUCGUCUGGCUCAGCUGUUUGAAGCGCAUCUACCUAAAUGUGUCAUUGUAAGGUGGUCUCCCUCUCUCCCUCCCUCCCUUAUAACUCCUAGGCACACCAGGUGCAAAGUCCAGCACAAAUUGGGUCACCAAGCCUACAUCUAGGUGUUGUAAUGGACUGUCCGCUUUUAAAGCCUAAGGGGAGAAAAGUGACCUGGGGGCAUAUCCCUUCCUUCAAGCAAUCACCCUUGCGGAGGUACCUUCCCUUACACCCA